UAGUCCUUAUGUACUAUUAUUAGCAGUAGUGUGCCAAAUCAGGCCAUAGUUUGUUUUCACUUCUUCUCAUCUUUGGGGGGCUUAAAAGUUGUAUAUGUGAUGUUUUACAAAUGGUUAUGCCUUCAACUAUACAUCUUUAAGGCUUCGACAAUUGCAUUGCUCUCAUUAACCAUUUAAGAAUUUGUGGUGUUCCAUCAUAGAAAUAUUCUAUCAGUUCUGCAGUAGAAUCAUGUUGGCUGCGAGCAAGCUUAGUGUUCCCACUUCUCACUCUCUAUAGUAAAUAGAUGACAUCAAUUUCAGUUGAUAUGUUAAUUAUUAAUUUAUAAACCGUAACGGUGUAGCUAUAGUGAUAUACUAAGUUUCAAUGCUCACCCUAUUCUGUACUUAAACUUAUGGAUGUCUGAAAGCAACAGUUUCUAUCAUAAGUUUGUUUCUCUCACCAGCUCUUUGUAUCAUAGUAAUACUUUCAGAUGUUUCCCAUGUUUUGUGUCAAAGGUAAAAAUCGGUUGUCAAGAAUGUGAGGCAUGGGAUCUACAAUUGCUGAUUUCGGUUAGAUUGUCUUAUAUAAGCCAGAAUUUGCACCAUGGCUGAAAUCAGCUGCAUAGUUGGGCAUCUCUAACAUGGUGAGCAAAUCAAUUUUCCAAUAAGAGAUUGGUUAGCUGCUCAACCACUAUUGAAUGAUUGCUUCACCGGCUACCUGACUACCUUAUUCCUCCAACUAGGGUUUGAUUUUGGACGAUCAAAGUGCAUACAUGGCAGGAUCCAAUUGGUUGGGAUUCAUUUUGCACAUUACUACUUUCAUGCUCGGGUUUUUUCACAUCAUGGUGUCACCACGAUUAUACUCAGCAAUCUGUUAUUUAUGUUGUCUCCUGGUCAAUUUUGUAUAUAUACAUGUUGUUUCCCUGAUUAAAAGUGUUACGUAUGUGCUAAAUCAUAUUUUUAGAGAACUAAUAUCAUAUUACGGAGCAUUUGUUUGUUUGUUUUUUAGGAUCCUGGAGCAUCGAUCAUGCUCUGCCUCACCACAUCAUACCUCUCACCACUGAGGAUGGCAUAAAAGAUAGAGCCAUUCUUGAGUCGGCGCCUGUGUGCAUGCAGCGCUGCCACCUCAUGUAGUUGCUUCAAGACAACAGCGUGUCCCGCCCCGAGUGGCACGCAUGGCUGACGGCCGAGAUGGCACCGGUGUAGGAGCUUCUGUAGGAGGAGAAGUCAGGAGCUCGGACCAUCAGUGUGGCCUGAUGCCUCUCUUGGAUGUAGUCUGUAGGUAACAACAGCUAAACUCUUAUGAGGACAAAAUCUAUCCGAUGGAACUUCUUUAAGCUCAACAACCAGGUAUGCAAAGUGGCCCUUUUCCUCUGCCCAGCUCCAAUCUUGAAAUAUCCAUCUUCCUCUCGGAGCUGCACAUGAUUUUUAGGUAAUGCAUACUGAAAAAUAGCUGAAGGAACAGUAGCUGAUGCCGAUUGUAUAGCCUUUUCUUAUAAGACAAGUUAUAUGAAAAUCCGUAUUUGCCGCAAUCGAUUCUUAUAAAUUGUGAUACUGCAAGUGAUACUUAUUAUUGUUGGAUGCAAUUUCUGAACAAUAUGAGCAGGCAAUGCCCUAGAAACAAGAUGUUGAAGAAAAUCAAUUGGCUGAAGAACUACUGAUCGGUAGUAGUGUUGGGUUAUCUGGGAAUAAUACAGUAGCAGCCAUGGUGUCAAAGUUUCUUAAAGUAAGAACGGAUCCAUGUGAUCUAUUCUUUUUAUUGAUAUAUUAACUAACUAUAUAUGUCGGAACUUAUCUGAUGUUGAUACUUACAUGUGGAAUAUUUCUGAAGCAGCAUUGUCCUUUACUUAGUAUUUAAAUUUAGUGUAAAUUACGUGCAGCACAGCCUGUGUCGUUCGGAUAUCUAUAUUAUUCAGAAAUAGCAUAAUAUUUAAUAGUGUA
Long non-coding RNA from Triticum urartu, 1920 nucleotides. RefSeq lists it as uncharacterized. The record is from RefSeq and is a predicted model, not a curated record. Lineage: Eukaryota; Viridiplantae; Streptophyta; Magnoliopsida; Poales; Poaceae.